CCUACGGGAGGCAGCAGUGGGGAAUAUUGCACAAUGGGGGAAACCCUGAUGCAGCGACGCCGCGUGAGCGAUGAAGUAUUUCGGUAUGUAAAGCUCUAUCAGCAGGGAAGAAGAAGACGGUACCUGACUAAGAAGCCACGGCUAACUACGUGCCAGCAGCCGCGGUAAUACGGCGGGGGCAAGCGUUAUCCGGAUUUACUGGGUGUAAAGGGAGCGUAGACGGGUGUGGAAGCCAGAUGUGAAAGCCCGGGGCUCAACCGCGGGACUGCAUUUGGAACUGUGUGGCUGGAGUGUCGGAGAGGCAGGCGGAAUUCCUAGUGUAGCGGUGAAAUGCGUAGAGAUUAGGAGGAACCCCAGUGGCGAAGGCGGCCUGCUGGACGAUGACUGACGUUGAGGCUCGAAAGCGUGGGGAGCAAACAGGAUUAGAUACCCGGGUAGUC
This 440-nucleotide ribosomal RNA is filed under the name uncultured bacterium. RNAcentral describes it as "partial 16S ribosomal RNA". It matches the Rfam family "Bacterial small subunit ribosomal RNA", at positions 338 to 795 of the family's 1533-position model. The record is from RNAcentral.